AGUGGGGAAUAUUGCACAAUGGGCGCAAGCCUGAUGCAGCGACGCCGCGUGAGGGAUGACGGCCUUCGGGUUGUAAACCUCUUUCAGUAGGGAAGAAGCGAAAGUGACGGUACCUGCAGAAGAAGCGCCGGCUAACUACGUGCCAGCAGCCGCGGUAAUACGUAGGGCGCGAGCGUUAUCCGGAAUUAUUGGGCGUAAAGAGCUCGUAGGCGGUUUGUCGCGUCUGCCGUGAAAGUCCGGGGCUUAACCCCGGAUCUGCGGUGGGUACGGGCAGACUAGAGUGCAGUAGGGGAGACCGGAAUUCCUGGUGUAGCGGUGAAAUGCGCAGAUAUCAGGAGGAACACCGAUGGCGAAGGCAGGUCUCUGGGCUGUUACUGACGCUGAGGAGCGAAAGCAUGGGGAGCGAA
RNAcentral lists this ribosomal RNA (407 nucleotides) under uncultured Citricoccus sp. RNAcentral describes it as "bacterial SSU rRNA". It matches the Rfam family "Bacterial small subunit ribosomal RNA", at positions 353 to 772 of the family's 1533-position model. Lineage: Bacteria; Bacillati; Actinomycetota; Actinomycetes; Micrococcales; Micrococcaceae. The record is from RNAcentral.